This 2894-nucleotide ribosomal RNA is filed under the name Salinivibrio costicola subsp. costicola ATCC 33508 = LMG 11651. Its description in RNAcentral is "bacterial LSU rRNA". It matches the Rfam family "Bacterial large subunit ribosomal RNA". Lineage: Bacteria; Pseudomonadati; Pseudomonadota; Gammaproteobacteria; Vibrionales; Vibrionaceae. The record is from RNAcentral.
UUAAGUGACUAAGCGUAGACGGUGGAUGCCUUGGCAGUCAGAGGCGAUGAAGGACGUAUUAACUUGCGAAAAGCCCAGAUAAGGCAGUAAAAGCCAUUUGAAUCUGGGAUAUCCGAAUGGGGAAACCCACCUGCAUAAGCAGGUAUCUUAGCGUGAAUACAUAGCGCUAAGAGGCGAACUCGGGGAACUGAAACAUCUAAGUACCCGAAGGAAAAGAAAUCAAUUGAGAUUCCGGCAGUAGCGGCGAGCGACCCCGGAUUAGCCCUUAAGCAGACUUGGCGUUAGGUGAACAGGUUGGAAAACCUGGCAAUAAAGGGUGAUAGCCCCGUAACCGACGGCGCCAUAUUUGUGAAAACGAGUAGGACGGGACACGUGAUAUCUUGUCUGAACAUGGGGGGACCAUCCUCCAAGGCUAAAUACUCCUGACUGACCGAUAGUGAACCAGUACCGUGAGGGAAAGGCGAAAAGAACCCCUGUGAGGGGAGUGAAAUAGAACCUGAAACCGUCUACGUACAAGCAGUGGGAGCCUCCNUUNGUGGGGUGACCGCGUACCUUUUGUAUAAUGGGUCAGCGACUUAAUGUUAGUAGCAAGGUUAACCGCAUAGGGGAGCCGUAGGGAAACCGAGUCUUAACUGGGCGUGUAGUUGCUAGCAUUAGACCCGAAACCGAGUGAUCUAGCCAUGGGCAGGUUGAAGGUUGAGUAACAUCAACUGGAGGACCGAACUCACUAACGUUGAAAAGUUAGGAGAUGACCUGUGGCUAGGGGUGAAAGGCCAAUCAAACUCGGAGAUAGCUGGUUCUCCCCGAAAGCUAUUUAGGUAGCGCCUCGGACGAACACUACUGGGGGUAGAGCACUGUUAAGGCUAGGGGGUCAUCCCGACUUACCAACCCUUUGCAAACUCCGAAUACCAGUAAGUGCUAUCCGGGAGACACACGGCGGGUGCUAACGUCCGUCGUGGAGAGGGAAACAACCCAGACCGCCAGCUAAGGUCCCAAAGUUAUCGCUAAGUGGGAAACGAUGUGGGAAGGCUCAGACAGCCAGGAUGUUGGCUUAGAAGCAGCCAYNCAUUUAAAGAAAGCGUAAUAGCUCACUGGUCGAGUCGGCCUGCGCGGAAGAUGUAACGGGGCUAAGCGAUACACCGAAGCUGCGGCAAUGNBMMNUUAUSSGNUAUUGGGUAGGGGAGCGUUGUGUAAGCCGUUGAAGGUGUGCUGAGAGGCAUGCUGGAGGUAUCACAAGUGCGAAUGCUGACAUGAGUAACGAUAAWGGGGGUGAAAAACCUCCWNCGCCGGAAGACCAAGGGUUCCUGUCCAACGUUAAUCGGGGCAGGGUAAGUCGGCCCCUAAGGCGAGGCCGAAAGGCGUAGUCGAUGGGAAACGGGUUAAUAUUCCCGUACUGCUACUUACUGCGAUGGGGGGACGGAGAAGGCUAGGUGGGCCUGGCGAUGGUUGUCCAGGUUCAAGGGUGUAGGCUGUAAUCUUAGGCAAAUCCGGGAUUACGUACGGUCGAGACCCGAUGUCGAGCCACCAAGGUGGUGAAGUCAUUGAUGCCAUGCUUCCGGGAAAAGCCUCUAAGCUUCAGGUAAGUAGGAACCGUACUCCAAACCGACACAGGUGGUCGGGUAGAGAAUACCAAGGCGCUUGAGAGAACUCGGGUGAAGGAACUAGGCAAAAUGGUACCGUAACUUCGGGAGAAGGUACGCUGCCCACGGUGAAGUCCCUUGCGGAUGGAGCUAUGGGCAGUCGCAGAUACCAGGUGGCUGCAACUGUUUAUUAAAAACACAGCACUGUGCAAAAUCGAAAGAUGACGUAUACGGUGUGACGCCUGCCCGGUGCCGGAAGGUUAAUUGAUGUGGUUAUCGCAAGAGAAGCCAUUGAUCGAAGCCCCGGUAAACGGCGGCCGUAACUAUAACGGUCCUAAGGUAGCGAAAUUCCUUGUCGGGUAAGUUCCGACCUGCACGAAUGGCGUAAUGAUGGCCACGCUGUCUCCACCCGAGACUCAGUGAAAUUGAAAUCGCAGUGAAGAUGCUGUGUACCCGCGGCUAGACGGAAAGACCCCGUGAACCUUUACUACAGCUUGGCACUGAACAUUGAGCCUACAUGUGUAGGAUAGGUGGGAGGCUUUGAAACGGCGACGCCAGUUGUCGUGGAGCCAUCCUUGAAAUACCACCCUUGUAUGUUUGAUGUUCUAACUUAGCCCCCUAAUCGGGGGUGAGGACAGUGCCUGGUGGGUAGUUUGACUGGGGCGGUCUCCUCCCAAAGCGUAACGGAGGAGCACGAAGGUGGGCUAAUCACGGUCGGACAUCGUGAGGUUAGUGCAAUGGCAUAAGCCCGCUUAACUGCGAGAGUGACGGCUCGAGCAGGUACGAAAGUAGGUCAUAGUGAUCCGGUGGUUCUGAAUGGAAGGGCCAUCGCUCAACGGAUAAAAGGUACUCCGGGGAUAACAGGCUGAUACCGCCCAAGAGUUCAUAUCGACGGCGGUGUUUGGCACCUCGAUGUCGGCUCAUCACAUCCUGGGGCUGAAGUCGGUCCCAAGGGUAUGGCUGUUCGCCAUUUAAAGUGGUACGCGAGCUGGGUUUAGAACGUCGUGAGACAGUUCGGUCCCUAUCUGCCGUGGGCGUUGGAUGAUUGAGGGGAGCUGCUCCUAGUACGAGAGGACCGGAGUGGACGAACCGCUGGUGUUCGGGUUGUGUCGCCAGACGCAUUGCCCGGUAGCUAAGUUCGGCACAGAUAAGCGCUGAAAGCAUCUAAGCGCGAAGCUGGCCCCGAGAUGAGUCAUCCCUAGAGCUUCGAGCUCUCUAAAGGGUUGUCGUAGACGACGACGUUGAUAGGCAGGGUGUGUAAGCGCUGUGAGGCGUUGAGCUAACCUGUACUAAUUGCCCGUGCGGCUUAACCAU